This 483-nucleotide ribosomal RNA is filed under the name uncultured Sphingobacteriales bacterium. Its description in RNAcentral is "bacterial SSU rRNA". It matches the Rfam family "Bacterial small subunit ribosomal RNA", at positions 898 to 1382 of the family's 1533-position model. Lineage: Bacteria; Pseudomonadati; Bacteroidota; Sphingobacteriia; Sphingobacteriales. The record is from RNAcentral.
AACUUAAAUGAAUUGACGGGGGCCCGGCACAAGCGGAGGAACAUGUGGUUUAAUUCGAUGAUACGCGAGGAACCUUACCUGGGCUUAAAUGGGGAGUGACAGCUGUCGAAAGAUGGUUUUCUUCGGACACUCUUCAAGGUGCUGCAUGGUUGUCGUCAGCUCGUGCCGUGAGGUGUCGGGUUAAGUCCCAUAACGAGCGCAACCCUUACCGUUAGUUACCAUCAGGUUAAGCUGGGGACUCUAGCGGGACUGCCACCGUAAGGUGAGAGGAAGGUGGGGAUGACGUCAAAUCAGCACGGCCCUUAUGUCCAGGGCUACACACGUGUUACAAUGGCCGGUACAAAGGGCAGCUACUUCGCGAGAAGAUGCUAAUCUCGAAAGCCGGUCUCAGUUCGGAUCGAAGUCUGCAACCCGACUUCGUGAAGCUGGAUUCGCUAGUAAUCGCGCAUCAGCCAUGGCGCGGUGAAUACGUUCCCGGGCCUU